Unclassified non-coding RNA from Microcebus murinus (gray mouse lemur), 102 nucleotides. It matches the Rfam family "Y RNA". Rfam says of the family: Y RNAs are components of the Ro ribonucleoprotein particle (Ro RNP), in association with Ro60 and La proteins. Lineage: Eukaryota; Metazoa; Chordata; Mammalia; Primates; Cheirogaleidae. The record is from Ensembl.
GGCUGGUCCAAGUGCAGUGGUGUUUACAACUAAUUGAUCACAACCAGUUACAUAUUCCUUUGUUCCUUUUCCACUCCCACUGCUUCACUUGACUAGCCUUUA